RNAcentral lists this ribosomal RNA (429 nucleotides) under uncultured Treponema sp. RNAcentral's name for it is "bacterial SSU rRNA". It matches the Rfam family "Bacterial small subunit ribosomal RNA", at positions 355 to 774 of the family's 1533-position model. The record is from RNAcentral. Lineage: Bacteria; Pseudomonadati; Spirochaetota; Spirochaetia; Treponematales; Treponemataceae.
CUAAGAAUAUUCCGCAAUGGAGGAAACUCUGACGGAGCGACGCCGCGUGGAUGAUGAAGGUCGGAAGAUUGUAAAAUCCUUUUAUGACUGAGGAAUAAGCUGGGUGAGAGAAACGCCUGGUGGUGACUGUAGGUCAUGAAUAAGCAACGGCUAAUUACGUGCCAGCAGCCGCGGUAACACGUAAGUUGCGAGCGUUGUUCGGAAUUAUUGGGCGUAAAGGGUAUGUAGGCGGUUCUGCAAGUCUGGUGUGAAAUGCCGGGGCUCAACCCCGGAACUGCGUUGGAAACUGCAGGACUUGAAUCGCUGAGGGGCAGCCAGAAUUCCAGGUGUAGGGGGUGAAAUCUGUAGAUAUCUGGAAGAAUACCAAUGGCGAAGGCAGGCUGCCAGCAGAUGAUUGACGCUGAGGUACGAAGGUGCGGGGAGCAAACA